RNAcentral lists this ribosomal RNA (714 nucleotides) under Triticum aestivum (bread wheat). RNAcentral's name for it is "partial small subunit ribosomal RNA". The record is from RNAcentral. Lineage: Eukaryota; Viridiplantae; Streptophyta; Magnoliopsida; Poales; Poaceae.
AUGGCGCAUCAACAUUUCCAGCAGAUUUCUGGUGAGGACCAACCGAGAUCAGUAGCGCUGAACUGGGAUGAACUAGGCUUGGAACAGGUUGAUCUUGCUGGUUUGGAUGAAGAGUUCACGAUGGAGGAAAUAAAGCAAGCCAUCGACGGGAUUCCAGCGGAUAAGGCACCGGGGCCUGAUGGCUUUUCCGGUGGUUUCUUCAAGCGAUGCUGGGAAGUAAUCAAGCUUGACUUGUUCGCAGCGCUAAACCAACUGUUCCGCAUGGACAGGAGGGGACUAGCAAGAGUUAAUAAGGCCAUCAUUGUUCUCAUCCCAAAGAAACAAGGUGUUGAGACGCUACAAGAUUUCAGGCCAAUCUCACUUAUACAUAGUUUGCUAAAGAUCUUCACUAAGCUUCUUGCGCGGCGGCUUGCACCGAAAUUGAAGGAUCUGGUCGAUCAAUGCCAGAGCGCUUUCAUUAAGAAACGCAGCAUACAGGAAAACUUCUUGUAUGUCCAGAACACGGCAAGAUACCUCCACAAGAACAAACAGCCAUCAAUUCUGCUAAAGUUGGACAUUGCCAAGGCCUUCGACUCGAUCUCCUGGACGUACCUGAUCGAUAUGCUCGAAGCUAGAGGAUUCGGGCCGCGCUGGCGCGAAUGGAUUGCCAUGUUGUUGCACACCUCGGCAUCACGCGUGCUGAUCAAUGGUCAGCAAACAGAUGAUAUUUUACAC